Molecule: ribosomal RNA, 476 nt
Filed under: uncultured bacterium
Lineage: Bacteria
Description: bacterial SSU rRNA
Rfam family: Bacterial small subunit ribosomal RNA
Source: RNAcentral
ACGAGACGACGCUGGCGGCGUGCCUAACACAUGCAAGUCGAGCGAGGAGAUCCUUCGGGAUGAUCCUAGCGGCGGACGGGUGAGUAACACGUGGGCAACCUGCCUCAUAGAGAGGAAUAGCCUUCCGAAAGGGAGAUUAAUACCUCAUAACAUUGCAGUUUCGCAUGGAACAGCAAUUAAAGGAGUAAUCCGCUAUGAGAUGGGCCCGCGGCGCAUUAGCUAGUUGGUGAGGUAACGGCUCACCAAGGCGACGAUGCGUAGCCGACCUGAGAGGGUGAUCGGCCACAUUGGGACUGAGACACGGCCCAGACUCCUACGGGAGGCAGCAGUGGGGAAUAUUGCACAAUGGGGGAAACCCUGAUGCCAGCAACGCCGCGUGAGUGAUGACGGCCUUCGGGUUGUAAAGCUCUGUCUUCAGGGACGAUAAUGACGGUACCUGAGGAGGAAGCCACGGCUAACUACGUGCCAGCCGCGGC